AUGCUUUGGCAGCACAUAUACCAAAAUCAAACUGAUACAGAGAAGAUUAGCAUGGACCCUCCACAAGGAUGACAUGGAAAUUCAUGAAGUAUUCCAUUUUUUU
Molecule: small nuclear RNA, 103 nt
Filed under: Pavo cristatus (Indian peafowl)
Lineage: Eukaryota; Metazoa; Chordata; Aves; Galliformes; Phasianidae
Source: RNAcentral